AACGAACGCUGGCGGCAUGCCUAACACAUGCAAGUCGAACGGGAUCCAUCCUUCGGGGUGGUGAGAGUGGCGGACGGGUGAGUAACGCGUGGGAACCUGCCCAGUGGUGGGGGAUAACUGCGGGAAACUGCAGCUAAUACCGCAUGAGCCCGAGAGGGGAAAGAUUUAUCGCCAUUGGAGGGGCCCGCGUUCGAUUAGGUAGUUGGUGGGGUAAUGGCCUACCAAGCCGACGAUCGAUAGCUGGUCUGAGAGGAUGAUCAGCCACACUGGGACUGAGAUACGGCCCAGACUCCUACGGGAGGCAGCAGUGGGGAAUAUUGGACAAUGGGGGCAACCCUGAUCCAGCAAUGCCGCGUGAGUGAUGAAGGCCUUAGGGUUGUAAAGCUCUUUUGCCUGGGACGAUGAUGACGGUACCUGGAGAAUAAGCCCCGGCUAACUUCGUGCCAGCAGCCGCGGUAAUACGAAGGGGGCAAGCGUUGUUCGGAAUUACUGGGCGUAAAGGGCGC
This 506-nucleotide ribosomal RNA is filed under the name uncultured bacterium. RNAcentral's name for it is "bacterial SSU rRNA". It matches the Rfam family "Bacterial small subunit ribosomal RNA", at positions 28 to 570 of the family's 1533-position model. The record is from RNAcentral.